This is a long non-coding RNA of Apis dorsata (giant honeybee), 859 nucleotides long. RefSeq lists it as uncharacterized. NCBI's taxonomy places the organism in Eukaryota, Metazoa, Arthropoda, Insecta, Hymenoptera, Apidae. The record is from RefSeq and is a predicted model, not a curated record. The transcript has 2 exons.
AAAUAUUAUAAAUAUUUAAAAUAACAUCGUUCUUUUUUAUUUUUCAGAGAUAUCUAGUUAGAUUUAUGGCCAGAUUUUGUUCACGAAACAUUUAAAAUUCACAAAAAAAAAAAAAAAAAAAAACAAAGAGGAGACCAGAGAAUAGUCAAAGACGCACUCGUGAAAGGUGUUGGAUUGCGCAACGUGGCGUUGAGAAAAUUCCUCUCCCCCCUUUUUUUUCACUGACAACGGAAUUACGCAUAAUAAUGAACGUAAACGAAGGUUUCACGGUGAACGUUUUUCAACAACAAAACUUGAAAAGCGCAAAAAGGAACAUUCAGGAACAGUUAAUUACCGAUUAGCCAGACGAAGGCUUCGGCCAUAGUGCAGAUCUAUCGUUUGAAAAAGAAUCUCGUCCAAAUUUUAUUUCCUUUGACUUUGCGGAUUGCGCAAUCGAACGAUUUUGCCUCGCGUCGCCUUUCACUUAUUCACGCAAAAACUUAACGACGAAACAGGAAUACGUAUAUUUUCUUUCUCUUUCUCUCCUUCUUUCAUCGUUUCAUUUUUUUCAAAAUAGAAGAAGGUUCGGUCGUAGGAUCCCAAAGUAGGUUCAUUUUGUCGAAUGGAUAAUCUGUGACGAGUGGAAGCGUCAUGAAAUAAUGGAAUUAUGUUAUACAUAUUUUUGCUCGAUAUUAGCGACACGAUUGAGUUUCGUGCUUGUGUUAUGUAACCACCGUAUUCCCUUUUCUAUGUAAUUUGAUUUAAAUUGUGGACUUGGAAGCGGCAAUCUGUGAUGUAUGGUUUAUUGAGGAUAAAAGGUGAUACGCUUUUAAAGCCGCAAACGAUAAUGAAUGGUAAGAAAAAUCGAAAGGUCGGAGUG